Molecule: ribosomal RNA, 253 nt
Filed under: uncultured bacterium
Lineage: Bacteria
Description: partial 16S ribosomal RNA
Rfam family: Bacterial small subunit ribosomal RNA
Source: RNAcentral
UACGGGGGGGGCGAGCGUUGUCCGAAUUUACUGGGCGUAAAGCGCGCGUAGGUGGAUUGUUAAGUCCGCUGUGAAAGCCCGGGGCUCAACCCCGGAGGGUCGGUGGAUACUGACAGUCUUGAAGUGGCUAGAGGGAAGUGGAAUUACCAGUGUAGCGGUGAAAUGCGUAGAUAUUGGUAGGAACACCAGUGGCGAAGGCGGCUUCCUGGGGCUAUCUUGACACUGAGGCGCGAAAGCUGGGGGAGCGAACGGG